GUGAGAGGAGGUCCCAGCUCUUGCUCCUGCCUCAGCCUCUCUGACUUCCUUCAGAGGAUCCCUUGGGGCCUCUUUCUUGAUUCUGUUGAUAAGCAGUAGAGGGUGGGGUCUUGGGAGGCUGUAUGUGUUUUAGGCAGCACCUCACAACCACACAAGUUCAGAAGAGCCUGCAGUUCUUGCUGCCCGCAUCUGAUUUUCAUCCAAGACAAGGCAGAACUUUCCUCCUCCCUCCCCUCCACCAAAAUGAAAGGAAACCAACCAAGGGCCACUCAAAACUCAGGCUUUGGCUGAUGGAGGAAGCGAAGAGGGAGCCACACCUACAGCAUGUGAAAAACUCUGACCUCUUCCCUCUCUGACCCAAGAGCCUUGCAGGAGAUGGGCUCGGAGCUCACGAUGAAUGCCAACCUGGCCGGGGGUAGACAGGGGGCUGAGGGCUGGUAUCCUGGGCUGGAGUCCCCUUCUGGGGCCGCAAGCCUGACUUUGGGAUCAGGUGCACAUCCCUGACCUC
Molecule: long non-coding RNA, 508 nt
Filed under: Sus scrofa (pig)
Lineage: Eukaryota; Metazoa; Chordata; Mammalia; Artiodactyla; Suidae
Description: lncRNA (ENSSSCG00070004787.1)
Source: RNAcentral